GCCCGGUGUUGGGCUCCUGCUGAGUGUGGAGACUGCUAAAAAAUAAUAAAAUGAAAUAAUAAUAAUAUAAAAUAGAGCUGAGGUCAGCUACACCCUAGAAUCACCCUAGAGAAUAAUAUGGUUAGAAAGCCAAAGGAAUAAGCAAUAGGGGUGAAGUAGAGGAGAUAACCAUCUCUGUAUUUCAUAUUAAAAUGCCACCAUAGUUUGCAGUAUGACGAAUCAUAAAGAAGUUCCAGAAUUUAUGCUAUCUUUUCCUCUUUUUCUAAGAAAAAGACACCUUGGUGAAGAGUACGGAUUCUGGAGUCAGAAUGCCUGGCUUCAAAUUCCAGUUGUGCGAACUCAGCCAGUUUAGUUUAGCAAUCUCUCAGUACCUAGGUUUCACUUAUAAAAUGGGGAUGACCUCACAGCACUGCUGUGACAAUUAAAUGGGUCGAUACAGGUAAAGCCCUUAGAAGUGUGCCUGGUUUACAGUAAACAUUAGAUGAACAUUAGCUGUUAUCUUAUUUUGGCUCUACAACAGUCCCCUCUUAUGCGUGAUUUCACUUUCAGGGUUUCAGUUACCAGUGCCAAAGGCAGGCAGGAAACGGAUCACCCUGAUUUAUGGCCACAAGGUCAAUAGCAGCCUAAGGCUACCUCACCAUGCCUCUGUCAGUCACUGUCUUCAUCUCAUCAUGUAGGCAGUUUCUCAUCUCACAUCAUCGCAGGAAGGGAUGGUGCGGGAACUCCCUGGAGCCUGACAGCCACUGUGUCUUUAUCUCCAGCACCCAAAACCACAGCACACAGCAGGCGGCUCAGCGAGGCUUUGAUGAGUAAAUGAAGAGUCCCCUUGUAGGAAGGGGACUUGAUGGGAGGCUGAACGCAAGCCACAUGGUGCCGCUGGCUGCGUGCACCGCCUCUGGCCGGGGGAGAGGAGAGGUCGCUGCAGCCGCACGCUGGCCGCAGCGGGGGACUCGCUUCUUUUUCCUCUGCGUGCGCCUAACUUGGCUAAACAGAAAAAGAACCCGCCGUUGCCAACCACAACACAACAAAGGACCCCAGAAGAUCGCCCGCCCUUUUUCUUUCCACCUUGAGGAACGUUUAGUCAGGAGUCCCAGACCACCUGCAGAUUCCAUUUCCAGCAGGAAUUAAAAAUCAGCUCUGUCGUUACCAACUGGGUAACCUUAAUCAAGUUCCUAGUACUUUGAGCCUCAGUCUGUGCAUCUGGAAAAUUGGGUAAUCCUCCUUAUUACCCCCUUCAAACUGGCUAACACUGAUUGAGAACUUGAUAUAUGCCAGACACUAAGCGUGUGGCAUGUGUAAUCUCAUUUAUUGCCCCCAGCAACUCUAGGGAGUAGGCUGUUGUUAUCAUCUGUAUUCCAUAGAUAAGGACAUUGAGGCAGGGAAUGGGACAUAACCUGCCUGAGGUCACCCAGCUGCCCGCUUGGGAUGACCCAGCUACCAAGGUCUCACAGUGUGACCACAGAACGCGUGUCCUUAAGCAUUAAGCGAUGGUGCUAGUUCACAAGGUGGUUGCCAGGAUCUAAUCAUGUGAUACAUGAAAAGAACUUUGUAAACUUUAAAAUGCUAAGCAAACCUGAGAAGAAGCCACCAUUAUUAAUAUUGACAUUACUUUCUUUCAUUCCUGGGGCACCUGGGUGGCUCAGUUGACUUUUACUUGGGCUCAGGUCAUGAUCUUGCCGUUCACGA
Molecule: long non-coding RNA, 1686 nt
Organism: Hyaena hyaena (striped hyena)
Lineage: Eukaryota; Metazoa; Chordata; Mammalia; Carnivora; Hyaenidae
Exons: 3
Source: RefSeq, a predicted model, not a curated record